CUGAUUUUAUGCCUCUUGCUGGAGGGAACAACAAGGGAUCAGGUGUCAUACUUCAGUCCUGAGCCAGAAGAAAGGUCCCUGCAGCCAGAGAGAGCAGUCUGCUUCCUUUGGAGAGGAACAGAAGCACUCCAGUAUGUGGAUCGCAUUGUCUCGAAAAAGCCACCCAGAAUUUGGAAUUCCAAGUCAUUCUGUAGAUUGAUCAGAUGAGGACGCAGAGGCCUAGAAACAUCUGCGCCAAACACGCAAGAUCACAGAAGUGUUCCUGGAAUCCAGAUCUGUCCAUCCACGCCCAAGUGAUCUCUCUGUCACCCCCCCACAUAGGUUUGGGAAAGGUAAGUGUGUUCUUUGGAAUGCCCAGUGGGCAAUGUGGAGUCACUGAGGCUGAGUCGGAGAAGGAGCGUCGGUGGGAAAGGUGCCCAGAGCUGCCACCUGCCAAACAAACCUGGGACGUGGUGCAGAAGACGUCUGGCUCCAUGAAUAGUUUCACCAAGGUCAUCUAACAUCAAAGAACAUGAGAAAAAUUCCGGACAAGUUCUGGCAUGUGGUUUACCAACAGGCCAUUAUUAAUCUCAAGCAGCGAGCUGAGAUAGCGGACGUGACAGCAAGCACAGUGGGUGGACAGGACUCCACUGGCCAGCCCCAACUUUACAGAAUGUGGCUUAAUUCUGGAAUCUAGGAGAAUCCAUAGACCAAGGCUGGCUGGCCAAAUCUGAACCAGAAGAGCACCUCUUGAGCACCUUCUCUGAGAAACCUCCAAUGAAUGCUCAAAAAACACUUGUUAUAAUCAUAUGCUCUUCUAUCAUUAAAUGCCUACACUCAGGAAAUGGACCCCGGCAGGAAGUCAUAACAAGAAAGGGUCACAGUCUGAUAAAAAAGUCAGUCCCCUAGCUGCCCCAUUCCAUCCAAGCCAGUUUGUCUCAGAAGAAAACACCUGGAUGUUUUUACGAGGAAAAAUAACUUUUUCAUUAGUAAGGGACAGCAAUGUCCUCUGGCAAUACUCUCAAUGGACAUGUCUUAGGACUCACCUGAGGAAUUGCGUUAAAAAUAUGGAUAUCUGCACCCUCUUCCUCCAUACCCAAAUCAUCUAGCAUUUUAAUUUUUUUAAAAGUGCUUUAGGUGAUUCUUCUAAUUCAGGAAGUUUGGAAAACCCUACCCUGCAAGCAGUUCUUGUUUUUUUGUUUGUUUUUUGUUUGUUUUUCUUUUAGACAGAGUCUCACUCUGUUGCCAGGCUAGCAUGCAGUGGUGCAAUCUUGGCUCACUGCAACCUCCACCUCCUGGGUUCAAGCGAUUCUCCUGCCUCAGCCUCCCGAGUAGCUGGGACUACAGGUGUGCACCACCAUGCUCAGCUAAUUGUGUUUUG
RNAcentral lists this long non-coding RNA (1360 nucleotides) under Homo sapiens (human). RNAcentral describes it as "HSALNT0055327". Lineage: Eukaryota; Metazoa; Chordata; Mammalia; Primates; Hominidae. The record is from RNAcentral.